RNAcentral lists this transfer RNA (72 nucleotides) under Marmota marmota marmota (Alpine marmot). It matches the Rfam family "tRNA". Rfam says of the family: Transfer RNA (tRNA) molecules are approximately 80 nucleotides in length. Their secondary structure includes four short double-helical elements and three loops (D, anti-codon, and T loops). Lineage: Eukaryota; Metazoa; Chordata; Mammalia; Rodentia; Sciuridae. The record is from Rfam by way of RNAcentral. RNAcentral also lists the same sequence under 3 other names.
UGGGUUGUAGCUCAAUGGUAGAGCACUUGUCUUGCAUGCAUGAGACCCUGGGUUAGAUCCUCAGCACCACAU